Molecule: ribosomal RNA, 1343 nt
Filed under: uncultured bacterium
Lineage: Bacteria
Description: 16S ribosomal RNA
Rfam family: Bacterial small subunit ribosomal RNA
Source: RNAcentral
GACGAACGCUGGCGGCGUGCUUAACACAUGCAAGUCGAACGGAAAGGCCCUGCUUUUGUGGGGUGCUCGAGUGGCGAACGGGUGAGUAACACGUGAGUAACCUGCCCUUGACUUUGGGAUAACUUCAGGAAACUGGGGCUAAUACCGGAUAGGAGCUCCUGCUGCAUGGUGGGGGUUGGAAAGUUUCGGCGGUUGGGGAUGGACUCGCGGCUUAUCAGCUUGUUGGUGGGGUAGUGGCUUACCAAGGCUUUGACGGGUAGCCGGCCUGAGAGGGUGACCGGCCACAUUGGGACUGAGAUACGGCCCAGACUCCUACGGGAGGCAGCAGGGGGGAAUAUUGCACAAUGGGCGGAAGCCUGAUGCAGCAACGCCGCGUGCGGGAUGACGGCCUUCGGGUUGUAAACCGCUUUCGCCUGUGACGAAGCGUGAGUGACGGUAAUGGGUAAAGAAGCACCGGCUAACUACGUGCCAGCAGCCGCGGUGAUACGUAGGGUGCGAGCGUUGUCCGGAUUUAUUGGGCGUAAAGGGCUCGUAGGUGGUUGAUCGCGUCGGAAGUGUAAUCUUGGGGCUUAACCCUGAGCGUGCUUUCGAUACGGGUUGACUUGAGGAAGGUAGGGGAGAAUGGAAUUCCUGGUGGAGCGGUGGAAUGCGCAGAUAUCAGGAGGAACACCAGUGGCGAAGGCGGUUCUCUGGGCCUUUCCUGACGCUGAGGAGCGAAAGCGUGGGGAGCGAACAGGCUUAGAUACCCUGGUAGUCCACGCUGUAAACGGUGGGUACUAGGUGUGGGGUCCAUUCCACGGGUUCCGUUCCGUAGCUAACGCUUUAAGUACCCCGCCUGGGGAGUACGGCCGCAAGGCUAAAACUCAAAGGAAUUGACGGGGCCCCGCACAAGCGGCGGAGCAUGCGGAUUAAUUCGAUGCAACGCGUAGAACCUUACCUGGGUUUGACAUGGAUCGGGAGUGCUCAGAGAUGGGUGUGCCUCUUUUGGGGUCGGUUCACAGGUGGUGCAUGGCUGUCGUCAGCUCGUGUCGUGAGAUGUUGGGUUAAGUCCCGCAACGAGCGCAACCCUUGUUCACUGUUGCCAGCACGUUAUGGUGGGGACUCAGUGGAGACCGCCGGGGUCAACUCGGAGGAAGGUGGGGAUGACGUCAAGUCAUCAUGCCCCUUAUGUCCAGGGCUUCACGCAUGCUACAAUGGCUGGUACAGAGAGUGGCGAGCCUGUGAGGGUGAGCGAAUCUCGGAAAGCCGGUCUCAGUUCGGAUUGGGGUCUGCAACUCGACCUCAUGAAGUCGGAGUCGCUAGUAAUCGCAGAUCAGCAACGCUGCGGUGAAUACGUUCCCGGG